GCGCCCGUAGCUCAGAUGGUUAGAGCAGCGGAUUUCUAAUCCGCGGGUCGGGAGUUCGAAUCUCCCCGGGCGUACCC
This 77-nucleotide transfer RNA is filed under the name Candidatus Methylacidithermus pantelleriae. RNAcentral describes it as "Methylacidiphilaceae bacterium PQ17 tRNA-Arg". It matches the Rfam family "tRNA". From Rfam's summary of the family: Transfer RNA (tRNA) molecules are approximately 80 nucleotides in length. Their secondary structure includes four short double-helical elements and three loops (D, anti-codon, and T loops). The record is from RNAcentral. Lineage: Bacteria; Pseudomonadati; Verrucomicrobiota; Methylacidiphilae; Methylacidiphilales; Methylacidiphilaceae.